Molecule: long non-coding RNA, 1198 nt
Organism: Teleopsis dalmanni
Lineage: Eukaryota; Metazoa; Arthropoda; Insecta; Diptera; Diopsidae
Exons: 6
Source: RefSeq, a predicted model, not a curated record
GGAAUAAGUAACUCAAAAUUUAAAAAAAAAAAUUAGUUUCUGAAACUAAAAAUGUAGAAACAUAAGAAGAACUACUACUUGAAAUAGAAGAAAGUCUCUGGAGAAGAACUUUCUUUUAUUAAAAUACUUAAAAUGUCGUAUUAAUCGACGGUUUUAAAUAAUAUAGUACAUUCUAUUACUUAAUGAUAAGUCGCGCAACUACUGAUCAAUUUAAGUACAUGAAAAUCUAUAUUACAACGAUAUUAGGUACAUGGAUAUAUGGUAUAAACGAGUGAUUGGAAUAGGAUCACUCAAGAACUUUUAGUGAUAUGAUAAUUGCUCCAUGGAUAUGGAGAAAUUUGUUGAAGAAAAUUAUUUUUAAUUAACCUGACUUGACAAAACUUGAUGUAUCAAUUUUUAUGGUCUUUAUGAUCUUAAAGACCAAUUGGACGUUCCAGAAUGUGUAUAGGAGUUACCUUCUUAGUAUCAAAUGAUGUUUCUUGGUGAAUACCUGUAGAUGAAGAUGUAUCAUUACAUUCCAAAAACUUCAUAGUUUUAUCUUUAUAGCAUUUCCAUAGCCAAGACGAUACAUGAGACACCUAUUCCAAUUUAUAACGGGAGAGGAUGGUUGGAAUGUAUUUAAAAUGGAUCCAUUUAUUGAUAACUGUGUGAAAUUUAUAAUUACUGUGGCUGUUGGAACUGUUGAAUGAUUUUAUAAUUUAGAAGAUACAUGAGACACCUAUUCCAAUUUAUAACGGGAAAGGGUGGUUGGAAUGUAUUUAAAAUGGAUCCAUUUAUUGAUAACUGUGUGAAAUUUAUAAUUACUGUGGCUGUUGGAACUGUUGAAUGAUUUUAUAAUUUAGAAGAUACAUGAGACACCUAUUCCAAUUUAUAACGAGAAAGGAUGGUUGGAAUGUAUUUAAAAUGGAUCCAUUUAUUGAUAAUUGAGUGAAAUUGAUAAUUACUGUGGCUGUUGGAACUUGAAUGAUUCUAUAAUUUAGAAGAUACAUGAGACACCUAUUCCAAUUUAUAGGUGUCCCGCAACUGCGGGAUUUAAGAUCCAAGUACAAAUCUCUGUAUUUAAACAUUGAGAUAUUUUUUCAGAGAAGGUAAAUACUCCUAUUGUCAAAUUUCUAGUAGUAAAUGUUUGGCCAUUAAAUCUAGCAUGCAAAUAUUUAAUGUUGCCAAAAUUACUGUACUAUAUACUAUAUUUCUGAUA